Molecule: transfer RNA, 58 nt
Filed under: Salmo trutta (river trout)
Lineage: Eukaryota; Metazoa; Chordata; Actinopteri; Salmoniformes; Salmonidae
Rfam family: tRNA
About the family: Transfer RNA (tRNA) molecules are approximately 80 nucleotides in length. Their secondary structure includes four short double-helical elements and three loops (D, anti-codon, and T loops).
Source: Rfam by way of RNAcentral
UGGCUCAGUUGGUAGAGCAUGGUUUUUGCAACGCCAGGGUUGUGGGUUCAAUUCCCAC